RNAcentral lists this long non-coding RNA (2009 nucleotides) under Sus scrofa (pig). RNAcentral describes it as "lncRNA (ENSSSCG00065017391.1)". Lineage: Eukaryota; Metazoa; Chordata; Mammalia; Artiodactyla; Suidae. The record is from RNAcentral.
UGGGAGUCGCAGUUCGUCCGGGGCAACUUCUGCCUCUCAGGCUGGUUGCAGCCGGCGCCCCGGGCCAGCGCAGCCUGGGCCCCAGCCAUCCUGCCCCCUCUCCGGCCGGGAGAAGCGGGCGCUGGGCUCUGGGGCUCCCUGAGCCCGCGGAGGCCAGCGCCCAGGGCGCACAAGAAGAGCAGGGGUGGAAGAAGAAAGGAAUUUCAAGGAGGGCAUUGCUUAAAGGGACGUUUGGACAGAGCCAGUUUCGGUGCUGGGCCGCAGCUCAGUGCCUAAUUUUAAUCUCAGGACUGCAGCCUGCGACCCGUGGACGGUCUCCUCAAACUUCUUCCCUCACACCCGAGUCUCUUCCUCCCUAGGAGUCUCCUGGUGCAUGGAACUGACCUGAAACUGGGGUUCCCCAAAGCCUCUGCCUGCCUUCUGCAGCUGAGCUGCUUCAGCCUCUGUGGGACACCCAUUUGAAGGAACCUGUCCAAAUCCAUGUAAGAGAUCUUGUAUUUUUUCCCUCCCAGCUGAGACUUCCUCCUCUGCCAGACACCUGUUCCAAGGAAGCUCCUGCAACUAGGGUGUGGGCUUGUGUCGUGAAGGUUGAGUAUCCAGGGUGACAGUGAAGAAUCCAUACUCCCACCCAAGAGUGGAUUUCAGUGCUGAGAGGAAGAGGAGGAAGACAUCUUGCUGGCUUGUGCCCCAGGUCUGCCUCUGGAGAAACAGGGCAAGCUGGCCCAUGGAACAUGUCACACUCUUGCAACCGGGGCACCUGAUCAGGCUGGAUGUGCCCAUCAGAUGCUGAAGGCACAGCUGCGUCCCUGCCCUGAGGUGAGUCCAUUUGGCCAGAGCAGGAGCGGUGCCCUGUCUCCAACCCAAAUCCAUAAGCAUGUUCUGAGUGUUCCAACUCUUUCUUCAACUCCAUCCCUGAGCCCGGAGUCUCAGCCAGGCGUCUGCCAGGGGCUCUGCCUGGGCUGGGGUUCAGCCUGGUGACCUUCAGUCUAACACCACCUCUCAGCCCUUCCUCCUGUUUCUCAGGAGCCCUAGAAGCUACCCUGGCCUGGGGCCCGGGAAGCUCCAUUUUGUUUCUCCUCAGCUGGGGAGCUGAACGAAUGCCCUCGACACUGGGGUCUUUCUCUCUCAGUCCCCCAGAGCCCUCACCCCAACUUACCCCGCCUCAGUACAUAAAAACCUCUGCAUCUCCACCAUGGGGUACCGAGAGCCUUUAACUCAGUCCCAGCUGCCUUCCCGCCCAGGCCCUUCCCUUAGUUCUGCUCCUUAAAACCACGAUUGCAGACAGGACAUAGAGGUUCAGGUGGAAGGGGAACAAAGACAUUUGGGGAGAACUCCUGAAAGAUAAAGCCCAGGGAAUCCUGUCUGGCCCCCCAAAUAGCACCACUUUUACAAGCUCCAUUCACAACCACUGGCCCCUUUGGACACGUGAUGACUUUACAGAGGCUGCAGGCUUGGUAGUUUCAAGGCCAAGAUUCAAGACAGAUAUUGUGGGUCCAGUGUCCUUGCCCCUUGAGAAACAAAGAGCAAACCAACCCCAGAGAACACGUCCACCUCUCUGGCCCCUGGGCAACCAGAGCCGGAUGGAACCACCCAUCAGAGGCAGAAGACACACAUCUUUCUGCCCCCUGAGGUCAGUUGAUUUGUGCCAGAGAGUCAGUGGUGCCCUGUGAGCCAUCUUAACACAUCCUAGGGCUCCCACUAACCCGUCUUUGCACCAGCAUCCAGGGGGCUUCAGAUGGGCUUUGUCUGUGCUCUGGCCCCUCCCGGAGGCCGUCUCCUCUAACAAACACUGACUCUCAGCCUUUCCUCCGGUUUCCCUCAGCGGCCCCCCAGGGCUCUCCUGGCCUUGGGCAGCUGCAGGCUUGAAGGAAUUCCUCCUCACCUUCUAAGCCAAGUGAAGUGCCCAGAGAGAGGGGCAAUUCUCUCAAAGACUCCCAGCACACACCCCAACCGACCCCAACGUAAGGCCUUAAACCCUCUGUUUUCUCCACCCACAUGUGCCAUGAGAG